Molecule: ribosomal RNA, 254 nt
Filed under: uncultured bacterium
Lineage: Bacteria
Description: partial 16S ribosomal RNA
Rfam family: Bacterial small subunit ribosomal RNA
Source: RNAcentral
GUCCACGCCGUAAACGAUGCUAACUCGUUUGGGCUUUAGGGUUCAGAGACCAAGCGAAAGUGAUAAGUUAGCCACCUGGGGAGUACGCUCGCAAGAGUGAAACUCAAAGGAAUUGACGGGGCCCGCACAAGCGGUGGAUUAUGUGGUUUAAUUCGAUGAUACGCGAGGAACCUUACCAAGACUUAAAUGGGAAUUGACAGUUUUAGAAAUAGAACUUUCUUCGGACAAUUUUCAAGGUGCUGCAUGGUUGUCGU